GAAAAAGAGAGAGUGGGAGUUUUUAGUAGGUAAUCUCCGUCACCAGGUUGUCAUUCAGUCUUUCAACACGCUUUACCUUUCAGAGAGAGAGAGAGAGAGAGAGAGAGAGAGAGAGAGAGAGAGAGAGAGAGAGAGAGAGAGAGAGAGAGAGAGAGAGAGAGAGAGAGAGAGCACUAAUACAAACGCUUUCUAAUCAAUCAAUAUAUUUUUCUAUGCAUUCGCUAACACAUUACUCACUAGAUGCCAUAUUUUACGAUGCUAAAAAGAAGUACACAAGAAAAGAGAUAAAAAAUAUAUUUUCUGUAAUGUAUUGAGUGUAAUGAUUAAGUUAAGAAUGUUUGUGAUGGAUUAAAUAUAUGGUUUGUAAA
Portunus trituberculatus (swimming crab) is the source of this 368-nucleotide long non-coding RNA. RefSeq lists it as uncharacterized. The transcript is spliced from 2 exons. The record is from RefSeq and is a predicted model, not a curated record. NCBI's taxonomy places the organism in Eukaryota, Metazoa, Arthropoda, Malacostraca, Decapoda, Portunidae.